RNAcentral lists this unclassified non-coding RNA (548 nucleotides) under Hevea brasiliensis (rubber tree). The record is from RNAcentral. Lineage: Eukaryota; Viridiplantae; Streptophyta; Magnoliopsida; Malpighiales; Euphorbiaceae.
AUGUUAUGAACCCAACUGCUAUGGGUAAAUUUGGUCACUGAUGGAUUGCCUGCCACAGCUAUUGGGUUCAAUAAACAAGACUCGGAUGUUAUGAAGUCCAAACCUCGGAAGGUCAAUGAAGCAGUGGUUAGUGGGUGGCUGUUUUUCCGUUAUCUAGUUAUUGGAGCAUAUGUUGGACUUGCCACUGUUGCAGGUUUUAUAUGGUGGUUUGUUUAUUAUAAUAAUGGACCGAAACUCCCAUAUACUGAAUUGAUGCAUUUUGACAGUUGUUCAACAAGGGAAACAAAUUAUGCUUGCAGUAUAUUCAGUGAUCGCCACCCAUCUACUGUUUCAAUGACGGUGCUUGUUGUUGUUGAGAUGUUCAAUGCAUUGAAUAAUCUCAGUGAAAAUCAAUCUUUACUUGUCAUCCCUCCAUGGAGUAAUCUAUGGCUUGUUGCUUCGAUUAUCUUCACCAUGAUCCUUCACAUUCUCAUUCUGUAUGUGCAACCAUUGUCCGCUCUAUUCUCUGUGACACCAUUAAGCUUGGCAGAGUGGACAGUUGUGCUAUA